GCGCCUUCUGUUCCCUUUCCAUGCCCUCCGCCGCCGCCUCUCUCCUCCGCCUCGUAUCGUCCCCGCACCGCUUCCGACAUCCGCCGGAUCUGUGCGGAUACCGAGUUUGCCGUUCGGAAGAUGUUGGGUUCAUGAGCGCCUAAAGGCAUCGCCCGCCUCCUUGCGGAAGCCGCUCCUGCUCUGCGCCGUGGAUUCAAGACGCCGCCUCGAUCUUCCGCAGCUACCGCGCGCCAGGGUCGGACAGGUCUUCUGGGAUAAGCAUGCUGACAUACGUAGAGCUCGUGAGGAGAAUGAAUUAGCUUUGAAUCAGUCGCGUGAGAAAGAUGAGCAGAUUAAGAAGCUGAGGAAUUACUCUGGGCGCGUGAGAAAGAUGAGAAGAAUACGAAGCUGGAGCAGAACACGGUUCAGGCCAACUUGGUGGAGGAAGUUUAAGAUGGUAAAAACCAGUGCAUCUCUCCUCCCAUAUCAUAAGUAUGAUAUUGGUGUGUGGGUAACAAGGAUUGCUGUCACCGUGUUUUAGUUUAGCGUAUCUGAAUUUGUGGAUCCGUAAUUUGUGUUUGGCUAAGGGUGGUAGAGUGAUUCUGAUUCUCAAUGGGAGAUAAUUUUUCAAGA
Molecule: long non-coding RNA, 612 nt
Organism: Setaria italica (foxtail millet)
Lineage: Eukaryota; Viridiplantae; Streptophyta; Magnoliopsida; Poales; Poaceae
Exons: 2
Source: RefSeq, a predicted model, not a curated record